GAAGUAAUGGGACUAGAUGCCAUGAUCUUAGUUUUUUGAAUGUUGAGUUUGAGAAACCGCAAUAAAGACUCUUGCCCAUGUUUUCUCCUUGUUCCCUCUGCCUCCUGACCCAACCCAGCGCUUGUGAAUCGCCUCCCUGCAUGCUGUAGCCUGGCUCCUCUUUCUAGGAAACUGAGUUUAAUAAACCUUCUUUCAUGACUUUCAGCUCAGCUGUCUAUGUGUCUUAUUUCAAGCACCCUCAAACCACCCUCUUCUCAGGCUUAUCUUCCUUUUCAUCCACCACCUCCUCCUCCCCAGUCCUGGCAUCCUCCUUCUUAUCCCUUUGUCCUGAGCGUGAUGCUCCUUUUUGGUGAAGCUCCUCUUUCCUGAGCAGUCCCACCAUGUACAGUUGUGCAGGUUGUGUACAGCAACCAGUCAGGGCUGACAACCCAGCCUGUGCUUGGUCGGCCUGAGCAGGCUCCUGUUUCUGUGGGCUGGUGAGUCUAUUCCUGGAAACCUCCUUCUACCCUCCUACCUCCCUAAAUGCUACCCAUCGUGGAGCCCUUCCAGCUCUUUGCAGACCUUGUGCUCCUGAAAUAGAAGACGGGAUCCUUCUCAUGUAGCUGUUCUGUUACCGCACGGGAAUGUAGCUUCCUCCCACAGGAAGUUCUGCAGGAAAGUGACCGAGCUGCCUGUGGAGCCUCACUGCAAGGUCAGGAAAGAUGCUCUUUUGCCUCCUCAGCUGCUCUGCUUUGGCUGCUUGGUGGAGUUCUCCUCAUCACCCACCCCCUUCCUCCCCACUUACACCUGGGAGAAAACGACUGAAAGCAGCUUGAGACGGGGCCAUCACCCCUUGCCUCCUGCCUGUAAUUCAGUAGGUCUCAAGUUUUCCAUGAUUAGCUCUUGAGGGUCUAGACUAGAUCAGUGCAUCUCAAACUUUGAGGUGCCUCAGACUCACUGGAGGGCUCCUUAAGACACAGAUGACUGGUCCUCGCCCCCAGAUUUUCAGACUCUAGGAUAGAC
This 1002-nucleotide long non-coding RNA is filed under the name Capra hircus (goat). Its description in RNAcentral is "lncRNA (ENSCHIG00010000792.1)". The record is from RNAcentral. Lineage: Eukaryota; Metazoa; Chordata; Mammalia; Artiodactyla; Bovidae.